RNAcentral lists this long non-coding RNA (2300 nucleotides) under Acyrthosiphon pisum (pea aphid). RNAcentral describes it as "ribonucleoside-diphosphate reductase subunit M2 B, transcript variant X1". The record is from RNAcentral. Lineage: Eukaryota; Metazoa; Arthropoda; Insecta; Hemiptera; Aphididae.
AUAAUACAUAGAUAGUCACAAUUUUUUUUUAUAAGCAUUUAAAUCGUGGUCAUGAUGGCAGCGUUCCCGAUGUUACGGACUACGGUAAAAUUUAAAUGUCCGUCACAUCGGCCCACAAAAGUACCUCCAAUAGAUAACCGUUCUGACGUAUCACUUAGUAAUAAUUGUUAUCAAAUGAAUAACAACACAAUAUUAUUUUAUUGUUCGCCGACUUUUGAAUUGAAUCAUUCGAUUAUGUAUUUGAAAUUUGAACAGAAAUACAGACCACAUCCGUACAGAGUUGUAUUCAUACGUUUUGGUUAACAAUUACCAUGCAUAAGUGUAUUCUUCUUAGUGAGAAAUCCAAAGUAUCGCCUCGCCACAUAACACAAUACGUUAAUUUUUAUUUAAUCUGCUGUAAUCAUUUCAUAAUCAGUGAUUAUAAACAAGGCUCAGUAUAAUAUAGUGGAUAUUAUGGACAGAGGCUGUCACAAAACUUAAUCCAAACCACUUACCUGGGAUAGAGAAGUAAAAUAAACAAUAUAGGUAAAAUAAAUUUUAAUAACUUACAGCAACACUGGUACUACUCCGAGCACGACUAAUAAUCAUCUAAGAGAAAAUUAUAUUUCUCCAACGAUGAGUUUGAAGAAAAUGAACAGACAAAUAAAAUAUUUGGAGACGUUACAGUUGAUGAUUUUAAUUCACCCAGAAAUGCCUGAGAAACUUAAUAAUGUCUAAUUCACACACACUUAUCUAAUUCAUACAGUGGAUUAUACUUAUUAUGGUUUUCAAAACCGAAAUAUAUGAUGUACCAGAUACAAGGAACAAGGAAGUCGAGCCAAUGUGUUGACAAUUUUCAGGCGUUGACUUUCUUGAAGAUAAUUCUGGCGGCUCACAUGAAGCCAUACAAUACUGGAGCGAUGUAUGAAACUUAAAGGCAAUACAAUUUUGCUGAGCAAGAAUCCAAUUUCAAUAACGCAGAGAGCUUCAACAUAUUUAAAUUGCAAAGAAACACAUAACUAGUUUGGACUGUGAAGGAAAGUGAAUCUAGUUGGAUGACAGAGUUUACACACAUAUUUUGCCUGUCUUAUUCUAAACAAUUGGAUCAAAGCCACCUCCAGCUGUUAUCACACAAAUCAUUUGUGAAGUUGUAACUAUUGUACAAGAUUAUUUGACAAACGCUUCAUCUGUCAGAAUGGUCAGCAAAAGCUGUGAAAAGAUUUAUAUUGGAGAUUUUGCUGAUAGGCUGUUAAAAGAAUUGGGGUUCCAACAGUUUACUGGUCGUCAAACCCAUCCAUUCAUGGAACUUACUCCUCAACAAGGAAAGACAAACUUCUUCGAAAGAAGAUUAAGCAACACCAAUUACCUUCAGUUGCAUUCUGAAUCAUGUUUGUGAAUAAAAUUAUUUGUCAAAGACUUAUUUAUAAUUAUAAGGGUACGUCAAUAUGAUGAAUCUACAGAUAUAAUAUAAUGCAACUUUUUAUAUCAAAGAGUUCCGUGUUAAGGAUCAAUUUGUUCAUUGAAAUUUGAUAUGGCAAUAAACCAAAAUUGUUUAUAAUUUUGUAUUUGAAUUAUAAUAAUAUAAUAUGGGUAUUAUUUAAAUUAUUAUUUUCAUUUAUUAAUUUAAUUAUUGAUUAAGAUGGUGAAUUGAUAUCAGAAGUACAAGCUUAUUUUUAUAAAAGCAUAUUGUAUUUUAUGAAUCAUUAAAUAAAAAUGUGAUUAGUAGAUUUUAGAGUUAACAUAAAGGUACACAAUAAAUGCAUCAAAUGUAUACAGUAUGUCAGUACCAACUAUACUACCAACUAGAUUUGUAAAAUUCCAAGUAUAUCAGUUUCUCCGAAUACUGCUGAGUACGAAAUUAAUAAUAAUGAUUUGAUAUGUUAAUUUUAAAUGUACUGUUAUAUAAUAUUAAUGUCAUCACAAAGUGUAACACUGUACGAGUUAGAAGUUGUCGAUAACGCAUAGUCAUACUAUAUGUCUAGUUUUUCUCGAAUAACCGAAGAUAAAAUGUGUUUGAGUUGUGUCUUGUCAUUAAAAUAAAAGAAUAUAUUUAAAAAGUAAUGUUUUCUUUAUCCGUUAAAAUCUAAGUUGUUGUACAAGAUACAACAUGUACCUAUUGGAUAUAUUUUAGAUUUUAGUUUAUGAGAGGAUCGAUGACUGUAUUAACUUUACAAUGAUGUGUUCUUUCAUUUUUUAAUUUUUUAAAUUAUUUUUUCUUAUGGUCUGUGUAAAUGAUAAGUAUUCGUAAUAAAGGUUCAAUUUUCAUAUAUUAUAUUUUAUUAUAGGCACUCAGUAUGUAAUCAUAUGUUUAUUUUUAGUUU